Molecule: ribosomal RNA, 253 nt
Filed under: uncultured bacterium
Lineage: Bacteria
Description: partial 16S ribosomal RNA
Rfam family: Bacterial small subunit ribosomal RNA
Source: RNAcentral
UUCAGAGGUCUCAAGCGUUGUUCGGAUUCAUUGGGCGUAAAGGGUGCGUAGGUGGCGGGGUAAGUCAGGUGUGAAAUCUCGGGGCUCAACCCCGAAACUGCACUUGAUACUGCCUUGCUCGAGUACUGGAGAGGAGAUUGGAAUUUACGGUGUAGCAGUGAAAUGCGUAGAUAUCGUAAGGAAGACCAGUGGCGAAGGCGAAUCUCUGGACAGUUACUGACACUGAGGCACGAAGGCCAGGGGAGCAAACGGG